GACGAACGCUGGCGGCGUGCUUAACACAUGCAAGUCGAACGGAAAGGCCCUGCUUUUGUGGGGUGCUCGAGUGGCGAACGGGUGAGUAACACGUGAGUAACCUGCCCUUGACUUUGGGAUAACUUCAGGAAACUGGGGCUAAUACCGGAUAGGAGCUCCUGCUGCAUGGUGGGGGUUGGAAUGUUUCGGCGGUUGGGGAUGGACUCGCGGCUUAUCAGCUUGUUGGUGGGGUAGUGGCUUACCAAGGCUUUGACGGGUAGCCGGCCUGAGAGGGUGACCGGCCACAUUGGGACUGAGAUACGGACCAGACUCCUACGGGAGGCAGCAGUGGGGAAUAUUGCACAAUGGGCGGAAGCCUGAUGCAGCAACGCCGCGUGCGGGAUGACGGCCUUCGGGUUGUAAACCGCUUUCGCCUGUGACGAAGCGUGAGUGACGGUAAUGGGUAAAGAAGCACCGGCUAACUACGUG
RNAcentral lists this ribosomal RNA (468 nucleotides) under uncultured bacterium. RNAcentral's name for it is "partial 16S ribosomal RNA". It matches the Rfam family "Bacterial small subunit ribosomal RNA", at positions 28 to 507 of the family's 1533-position model. The record is from RNAcentral.